Molecule: ribosomal RNA, 302 nt
Filed under: uncultured bacterium
Lineage: Bacteria
Description: bacterial SSU rRNA
Rfam family: Bacterial small subunit ribosomal RNA
Source: RNAcentral
AUAGAUACCCCGGUAGUCCACGCCCUAAACGAUGCGAACUCGGAGUGUUGGGUUCUAAGUUUGGAACCCGAGUACUACGAAGACGUAACGUACGUUAAGUUACGCCGCCUGGGGGAGUACGGGUCGCAAGACUGAAACUCAAAGGAAUUGACGGGGGCCCGACACGAAGCGGUGGGAGUAUGGUUGGUUUAAUUCGGAUGCAACGGCGAAAGAACCUUACCUGGUCUUGACAUCCACGGAACUUUCCAGAGAUGGAUUGGUGCCUUCGGGAACCGUGAGCAGGUGCUGCAUGGCUGUCGUUC